Molecule: ribosomal RNA, 322 nt
Filed under: uncultured eukaryote
Lineage: Eukaryota
Description: partial 18S ribosomal RNA
Rfam family: Eukaryotic small subunit ribosomal RNA
Source: RNAcentral
CCCUUAGAUGUUCUGGGCCGCACGCGCGCUACACUGAUACGUUCAACAAGCUCCUUGUCCGAAAGGUCCGGGUAAUCUUUGAAACCGUAUCGUGAUGGGGAUAGAACAUUGCAAUUAUUGUUCUUCAACGAGGAAUGCCUAGUAAGCGCGAGUCAUCAACUCGCGUUGAUUACGUCCCUGCCCUUUGUACACACCGCCCGUCGCUCCUACCGAUUGAACGUGCUGGUGAAGCGUUAGGACUGGAGGGUUACCUAGGUCUCCUAGGUUUCACUCCGGGAAUUUCGUUGAACCCUCCCGUUUAGAGGAAGGAGAAGUCGUANCA